This 501-nucleotide ribosomal RNA is filed under the name uncultured bacterium. Its description in RNAcentral is "partial 16S ribosomal RNA". It matches the Rfam family "Bacterial small subunit ribosomal RNA", at positions 30 to 523 of the family's 1533-position model. The record is from RNAcentral.
AUUGAACGCUGGCGGCAGGCUUAACACAUGCAAGUCGAGCGGAGCGAGGGUGCUUGCACCUUAGCUUAGCGGCGGACGGGUGAGUAAUGCUUAGGACUCUGCCUAUUAGUGGGGGACAACAUUCCGAAAGGGAUGCUAAUACCGCAUACGCCCUACGGGGGAAAGCAGGGGAUCUGCGGACCUUGCGCUAAUAGAUGAGCCUAAGUCGGAUUAGCUAGUUGGUGGGGUAAAGGCCUACCAAGGCGACGAUCUGUAGCGGGUCUGAGAGGAUGAUCCGCCACACUGGGACUGAGACACGGCCCAGACUCCUACGGGAGGCAGCAGUGGGGAAUAUUGGACAAUGGGCGGAAGCCUGAUCCAGCCAUGCCGCGUGUGUGAAGAAGGCCUUUUGGUUGUAAAGCACUUUAAGCGAGGAGGAGGCUACUAGUAUUAAUACUACUGGAUAGUGGACGUUACUCGCAGAAUAAGCACCGGCUAACUCUGUGCCAGCAGCCGCCGUAA